Molecule: small nucleolar RNA, 83 nt
Organism: Colletes gigas
Lineage: Eukaryota; Metazoa; Arthropoda; Insecta; Hymenoptera; Colletidae
Product: small nucleolar RNA snR60/Z15/Z230/Z193/J17
Exons: 1
Source: RefSeq, a predicted model, not a curated record
AUAUUUUUAUGAUGAGUUCAUAGUUCAACUGAUCUAUACUGAAGACAACUAAUAUUGUCUUUCGCUCCUAUCUGAUUGCAUUC